UACAGAGGCCCCAAGCGUUACUGAGAAUCACUGGGUUUAAAGGGUGCGUAGGUGGUCCGUUAAGUCAGUUGUGAAAGCCCUGGGCUCAACCCAGGAACUGCUUCUGAUACUGGCGGACUUGAGGCUAGUAUGGGUCACUGGAACUGACGGUGGAGCGGUGAAAUGCGUAGAUAUCGUCAGGAACGCCAAUGGUGAAGACAGGUGACUGGGCUAGAUCUGACACUGAGGCACGAAAGCGUGGGGAGCGAACGGG
This 253-nucleotide ribosomal RNA is filed under the name uncultured bacterium. Its description in RNAcentral is "partial 16S ribosomal RNA". It matches the Rfam family "Bacterial small subunit ribosomal RNA", at positions 524 to 776 of the family's 1533-position model. The record is from RNAcentral.